GACGUAGGGGGCAAGCGUUGUCCGGAUUUAUUGGGCGUAAAGAGCUCGUAGGCGGCUCAGCAAGUCGGGUGUGAAACCUCCAGGCUCAACCUGGAGACGCCACCUGAUACUGCUGUGGCUAGAGUCCGGUAGGGGAGCACGGAAUUCCCGGUGUAGCGGUGAAAUGCUUAGAUAUCGGGAGGAACACCAGUGGCGAAGGCGGUGCUCUGGGCCGGAACUGACGCUGAGGAGCGAAAGCGUGGGUAGCAAACAGG
Molecule: ribosomal RNA, 254 nt
Filed under: uncultured bacterium
Lineage: Bacteria
Description: partial 16S ribosomal RNA
Rfam family: Bacterial small subunit ribosomal RNA
Source: RNAcentral